GACAUAGGUGGCGAACGUUAUCCGGAUUUAUUGGGCGUAAAGGAUGCGUAGGUGGUAGAAUAAGUUAUUGGUCGAAGUCAGGCUCAACUUGACGGAAGCUGGUAAAACUAUUUUGCUAGAGGAUAGGAGAGGUUAGCGGAACUCCCUGUGGAGCGGUGAAAUGCGUAGAUAUAGGGAAGAACACCAAUAAGGCGAAGGCAGUUAACUAUUCUACUCCUGACAUUGAGGCAUGAAAGCGUGGGGAGCAAAACGG
This 253-nucleotide ribosomal RNA is filed under the name uncultured bacterium. RNAcentral's name for it is "partial 16S ribosomal RNA". It matches the Rfam family "Bacterial small subunit ribosomal RNA", at positions 524 to 776 of the family's 1533-position model. The record is from RNAcentral.